Molecule: ribosomal RNA, 433 nt
Filed under: uncultured bacterium
Lineage: Bacteria
Description: partial 16S ribosomal RNA
Rfam family: Bacterial small subunit ribosomal RNA
Source: RNAcentral
AAUGAACGCUGGCGGCAUGCCUAACACAUGCAAGUCGAACGAAGGCUUCGGCCUUAGUGGCGCACGGGUGCGUAACGCGUGGGAAUCUGCCCCUUGGUUCGGAAUAACAGUUAGAAAUGACUGCUAAUACCGGAUGAUGACGUAAGUCCAAAGAUUUAUCGCCGAGGGAUGAGCCCGCGUAGGAUUAGCUAGUUGGUGUGGUAAGAGCGCACCAAGGCGACGAUCCUUAGCUGGUCUGAGAGGAUGAUCAGCCACACUGGGACUGAGACACGGCUCAGACUCCUACGGGAGGCAGCAGUGGGGAAUAUUGGACAAUGGGCGAAAGCCUGAUCCAGCAAUGCCGCGUGAGUGAUGAAGGCCUUAGGGUUGUAAAGCUCUUUUACCCGGGAUGAUAAUGACAGUACCGGGAGAAUAAGCGCCGGCUAACUCCGUG